This 482-nucleotide ribosomal RNA is filed under the name uncultured bacterium. RNAcentral describes it as "partial 16S ribosomal RNA". It matches the Rfam family "Bacterial small subunit ribosomal RNA", at positions 28 to 507 of the family's 1533-position model. The record is from RNAcentral.
GACGAACGCUGGCGGCGUGCUUAACACAUGCAAGUCGAACGAUGAAGAAGAGAAACGCGAACUUCGGUUCAAAUUUCACUUCGGAUUAGUGGCAGACGGGUGAGUAACGCGUGAGCAACCUACCUCUUACAAAGGGAUAGCCUCGGGAAACCGUGAUUAAUACCAUAUGACACAUUCAUAAGGCAUCUUAAGAAUGUUAAAGCUACGGCGGUAAGAGAUGGGCUCGCGUUCCAUUAGCUAGUUGGUGAGGUAACGGCCCACCAAGGCGACGAUGGGUAACCGGCCUGAGAGGGUGAACGGUCACAUUGGAACUGAGACACGGUCCAAACUCCUACGGGAGGCAGCAGUGGGGAAUAUUGCACAAUGGAGGGAACUCUGAUGCAGCGACGCCGCGUGAGCGAUGAAGGAAUUCGUUUCGUAAAGCUCUGUUCUAUGGGAAGAAAAGGACUGUACCAUAGGAGAAAGCCCCGGCUAAAUACGUG